GAGGGUAUAGCUCAAGUGGUAGAGCACAUGCUUAGCAUGCAUGAGGUUCUGGGUUCAAUCCCCAGUACCUCCU
Molecule: transfer RNA, 73 nt
Filed under: Camelus bactrianus (Bactrian camel)
Lineage: Eukaryota; Metazoa; Chordata; Mammalia; Artiodactyla; Camelidae
Also listed under: 2 other names
Rfam family: tRNA
About the family: Transfer RNA (tRNA) molecules are approximately 80 nucleotides in length. Their secondary structure includes four short double-helical elements and three loops (D, anti-codon, and T loops). Further hydrogen bonds mediate the characteristic L-shaped molecular structure. tRNAs have two regions of fundamental functional importance: the anti-codon, which is responsible for specific mRNA codon recognition, and the 3' end, to which the tRNAs corresponding amino acid is attached (by aminoacyl-tRNA synthetases). tRNAs cope with the degeneracy of the genetic code in two manners: having more than one tRNA (with a specific anti-codon) for a particular amino acid; and 'wobble' base-pairing, i.e. permitting non-standard base-pairing at the 3rd anti-codon position.
Source: Rfam by way of RNAcentral